GCCGCGUGAGUGAGGAAGGCCUUCGGGUCGUAAAGCUCUGUCAAAGGGGAAGAAGUGUAUAGCGGUUAAUACCUGUUAUAUUUGACGGUACCCUUAAAGGAAGCACCGGCUAACUCCGUGCCAGCAGCCGCGGUAAUACGGAGGGUGCAAGCGUUGUUCGGAAUUACUGGGCGUAAAGGGCGCGUAGGCGGCUUGGUAAGUCAGAUGUGAAAGCCCACGGCUUAACCGUGGAAGUGCAUUUGAUACUGCUAGGCUUGAGUACCAGAGGGGAAAGUGGAAUUCCCGGUGUAGAGGUGAAAUUCGUAGAUAUCAGGAGGAAUACCGGUGGCGAAGGCGACAACCUGGCUGAUACUGACACUGAGGUGCGAAACCGUGGGGAGCAAACAGGAUUAGAUACCCUGGUAGUCCACGCCGUAACCGAUGUCACUAGCCGUUGGGAGCCUUGAGCUCUUAGUGGCGCACGAACGCAUUAAGUGACCGCCA
Molecule: ribosomal RNA, 483 nt
Filed under: delta proteobacterium KB52
Lineage: Bacteria; Deltaproteobacteria
Description: bacterial SSU rRNA
Rfam family: Bacterial small subunit ribosomal RNA
Source: RNAcentral